AAGAACCCAACAGGGAUUGCCUUAGUAACGGCGAGUGAAGCGGCAACAGCUCAAAUUUGAAAGCUGGCCCUUUUAGGGUCCGCAUUGUAAUUUGUAGAGGAUGAUUCGGCGAGGGCUCCUGCCUAAGUCCCCUGGAACGGGGCGUCAUAGAGGGUGAGAAUCCCGUAUGCGGUAGGUUGCCUUAGCCAUGUGAAUCUCCUUCGACGAGUCGAGUUGUUUGGGAAUGCAGCUCUAAAUGGGAGGUAAAUUUCUUCUAAAGCUAAAUACCGGCCAGAGACCGAUAGCGCACAAGUAGAGUGAUCGAAAGAUGAAAAGCACUUUGGAAAGAGAGUUAAAAAGUACGUGAAAUUGUUGAAAGGGAAGCGCUUGCAACCAGACUUGUCCGCAGUUGCUCAGCCGGUCUCCUGACCGGCGUACUCUUCUGCGGCCAGGCCAGCAUCAGUUCGGGCGGUCGGAUAAAGGCCUCGGGAAUGUGGCUCCUCUCGGGGAGUGUUAUAGCCCGGGGUGCAAUGCGGCCAGCCUGGACUGAGGAACUCGCUUCGGCAAGGAUGCUGGCGUAAUGGUUGUAAGCGGCCCGUCUUGAAACACGGACCAAGGAGUCUAACAUCUAUGCGAGUGUUCGGGUGUCAAACCCGUACGCGUAAUGAAAGUGAACGGAGGUGGGAACCCGCAAGGGUGCACCAUCGGCCGAUCCUGAUGUCUUCGGAUGGAUUUGAGCAAGAGCAUAGCUGUUGGGACCCGAAAGAUGGUGAACUAUGCCUGAAUAGGGUGAAGCCAGAGGAAACUCUGGUGGAGGCUCGCAGCGGUUCUGACGUGCAAAUCGAUCGUCAAAUUUGGGUAUAGGGGC
Molecule: ribosomal RNA, 847 nt
Filed under: Lasiodiplodia theobromae
Lineage: Eukaryota; Fungi; Ascomycota; Dothideomycetes; Botryosphaeriales; Botryosphaeriaceae
Description: partial large subunit ribosomal RNA
Rfam family: Eukaryotic large subunit ribosomal RNA
Source: RNAcentral